Oryzias latipes (Japanese medaka) is the source of this 532-nucleotide non-coding RNA. The record is from RefSeq and is a predicted model, not a curated record. Lineage: Eukaryota; Metazoa; Chordata; Actinopteri; Beloniformes; Adrianichthyidae.
CCUAAUUACAUUGAAAACACCUGGCCGCAGUUUUAAAUGCAGAAGACCCUGUUGAAAUAACGUAGGAGCUUAAAGAUGUCGACAGCUGUAGAGUCUGAUAAAGUUUUGUCCGAGGAUGGAGACACUCAGGCACCCGAAAAGAGCGACUAUCCGUUCCAAGAGGUUCACAAAACUUUGAAGUCUGGCUGUAAAUGCUGUUUUAAGACUAUAAAGAACCUCGAUGACAGGCUGGCCAUUCUUUCCGAAAACAUAAGCCUUUGCUCGUCGGCUCUGAAUGACCUGCACGACCUUUACGAUGUUUUGGCGGGUUCUCUUACAGAAAAAACGUCUUCAGCAAGGAUCCGAGGACCCCCACACUCCUAAACAUGAACUUGAAUAAACUGCAACACCACUAUGAAGCUGAUUUCAGUGAUGGGAAUAAGGUUUUAUUUAUUAGUAUAUUGCUGUCAAGUCAUUAUUCAAUAUGAAACAAGCAUUUAAGCCAACAGUUGAACAUUGUACAUUCUUUUGAAAAUACAAAUCCUGGACCAUC